Molecule: long non-coding RNA, 201 nt
Filed under: Elaeis guineensis (African oil palm)
Lineage: Eukaryota; Viridiplantae; Streptophyta; Magnoliopsida; Arecales; Arecaceae
Description: long non-coding RNA (EGUI_LNC077042)
Source: RNAcentral
UGCUACUACUUUAAUCAUAUGUAUGAUGAUGAUCGUAAAAUCUAAACCAUACAUAUAUGAACCAUCCAUAUCAAGUAGAUCUUACAAAAGUACAAAUAUAAUUACUUAAGAAUUUUAAGAAUGAGUAUAUAUAUAAUUUUGAAUGGUUCAUAUAUACAUGGUUUAAAUUUUGUGAUCACCACCGUACAGACGAUUAAAGUA